This is a long non-coding RNA of Alligator sinensis (Chinese alligator), 2943 nucleotides long. RefSeq lists it as uncharacterized. Lineage: Eukaryota; Metazoa; Chordata; Crocodylia; Alligatoridae. The record is from RefSeq and is a predicted model, not a curated record. The transcript is spliced from 3 exons.
ACAUCACCCGCUCUCCAGGUCCCGGGAGAAAUGUGCUCAGAACAUUACCUGGACCAAACGCUGCAGCCGAUGGACUGCUUUUUCCUAACUUUUAGCAGGCUGCAAUGUGCAAACAGGAGCAAUUUUUUCCGGCUGUCUGUCAGGGCGCGAUGGCAAGGCUUGCACUGACUUCAGCGGCAUCGAACACACCAGUUGGAAGCUCCCGCAGCAAAGCAGUGUGGAGCAGAAGAAAUGAAUCAUGCUGCCUCGUUUAUCGGGAGGUCCGAGCCUGGAUCUCCCCGUCGGAGGUGGAGACAGAAGCCUUCUGAAAUGCAGACCUCACAGAGAGAUUGUUUUCCAUGCUCCAGUCCAAAGCCUGACUCAGUCAGAACUGGAGUGCCAAAGACAAGGCCAGCAGGAAGCUUACAGUGGGCCGAGCGAUGCAGCUGUAAGGGAUGGAUCGUCGACUUGUGUGAACGUGGCGAAGCUCACCCGCUGAGUGUCUCGCGCCAGCUUCUUACAAAAUGCACGGCUCAUCUAUUAGGAAGUUUCCAAGGAACAGUGUUUUGGCUGCUUCUGUCUUGGAGUAAGACGCUUCCUCCGAAGCGUGCUGUCAGUCCUGGCAUGUAGGACAGACUCCUGAAGGGGUGGUAGAGAACGCCCCAAGCACGUUGAUAAGAACAGCUCUCCUCUCAGAGGCGGUGGCUCCCCCUAUAGCCCCUCUGCCUUGAUGCAGUGGCUGCUUAUGGCUUUGCCUUGUGCCUGCCAGUACGGAGCAGGCCCAGGUGCUCUUCCAACACCUGCGUGAGCACUCUGGUCUCUGGUGUGCUAUCCCCCUGAUAUGCCCAGGAAACCUGUUGCAUUUGCCACGUCACUCAAAUCAGCCUCCAAGAAGAGCCCUGUAGACCCAUGGAAAAUAGACCGCUAUGACUUAGGAGCAGCAAUGUGACAUGUCUUAUACCUCUGGCAGCUCUGAGAAUGAUAAUUCCCCCGGUACACUGUCGCAUUAGGAGCAGUGCAUGGGCAGGGGCUUGGACCAGGUGACCCCUGAGGCCCCCCAGCCUGCGGAUUCAGGAUCCUCUGCAGUUGGGAGAACAAGACAGGGGGAUGCUUGCUUUGGAGCCGCAACUCUGUGCACAAGGAUGUCUGCACCCCUCUCUGGGUGAGAGCCCCGGGGGGAAAGAACAACCAACGUGCUGGAAGCUGGUAACAAUUGUGGCUUUCCUCCUCUUGGCAAGGGCUCUAGUGAAGAGUACAGCACUGGAGCUGGGGCAGCUUUACACACACGCAGCCUGGGAUUUCAACUGCUUGGACGCCCCUUGCAAUUCCCACGGCCGAGUCACCUUCAGUAUGUGCCUUUUGGCUCCCAGGAAGGCGCCGUUGCUCUGCCCUGUGCCCUAGAGGCUGUGGGAGCUCUCCUCCCCAGGACCGUGCUGCAGGUCACCAGCCCUUGCCAUGAGGGUCCCUGGAGCUGCAGCCCUGGGGGCUCAGGGGCUGCGCUCUGUCAUGUCCCUGCUAGCCGAGCGUUGUGGGCUUGUGUAGAGGCAUGAGGGCUGGGAACUGCUCCCCGUGCUGCCCGAGAAAGCAUUCCCUUGCCGUAAUCCUGCCUCCUGGCAUCCUCUGUGCAGGCAGGAGGGCAGGAGGUCAAGCUGAUUCCUGCUCUUGGAGCUGAAACAGAAGCUGUGUGCUAUUUUCCCAGCCAGCCGCUCCCCUCGAAGGGGCUGUCAGGGCUGUGGCCGAGGGUUAUUUUUCUAACCUCCUGUCCCCUUCAGGAAGAUGAGGCUGAGGCUGAAGCUGAAGCAGUUUCCCCAAGCAUGGGCACCUCUGCAACCUCCUGUUGCUCCUUUCUCAGCCAUGGGGCUCCCCUGGGAGGCUGGGCCUGGGUGCGCCAAUGGAAGGGUCACCCCAUCUCCCCCAAUGAGCUGCUAGCGCUGCAGGCGUGGGGCAGGAGUGCAUUUGGAUCCAUGCAGUGGUGCCCCUCGCCCUCACCCCCUCCAACUCCAACAUUCAGGUCCCAGGCAGAGUUUGCUCAAUGUGACGGUCUAAUUCCAGCCACCUCCCCACGUCCCUGUGAUCGUGGCACUGAGCUGUGCCCUUCUCUCUCUCCCUUGGGGCUGCUCACACCCCGUGUGCCUAGGUGGCCCAAGUGAAGCUGGCCACGCUGGAUGUCUUGCAAAUCUGUUUCUGGAUGAAACAGAUUUUUCAGGCCUGAGCUCUGCUGUGCUGUGGUUCUCCCUCGGGGUGCCUGCGCUGCCUGAGAAACAUGGGUCCCUGCUUCCACCAAGCUGGCAAAGCCCAGGGAUGUGGGUGAGUGUCUGGCCCACAAGCGGAGGUCCCAGCCAGCAUGGCACACCACACCACGCCACAACACAACCCACGUACCUGCCAGGAUGUGGAUUGAAGGGGAGUGGGGAGGACAGGGUCUGGACUGAGCUACCCGUAUGGGACAGAGUGGGAAGCACCUGCUGCCCCACUGAACCCAGCAGCCUCGCGCCCAGAGCAGCUCUUGCCAGCUCCAAGGCCGGUGGCUUUAGGACACAUCUAACACCUCUGGCUGGCAUAGCCCUCUUCUGCCUCUACCUCUGCCAGCCAAGAGGAGCAGAAAGGGCCAUUUCACAUGAGGACUAACUGCCCUCACCCCCCGGCCCUGCACCCCCGUCUCCCUGCGCCCCGCUUUGCUGCCAGGAGCAUUCCCGGGGAAGCUGCACCAUCUUUGUUUAGUCAUUAGAGCAGAAAACGAGGGCGAGAAUCUGAGGAAAUGCUUGAAACGAUUAGGUGGUCUUAACCGAGAGGCACUAAAUGCAUGCAAAGCACCUCCCCCAGCCCCUCGUGCGGCGGGAGAAUGUAAUCGCAUUUCUAAACACACAAUUACGGGAAAUAAAGAGACAAGAAAAGAAUAAUUAAUUUCUGCUUCCUCAUGCAAAUCCUCUGACCAAUCAUUUAGGGAUCAGGAGCAAUUCAGCU